CGGUGGAGCAUGUGGUUUAAUUCGAAGCAACGCGAAGAACCUUACCAGGCCUUGACAUGCAGAGAACUUUCCAGAGAUGGAUUGGUGCCUUCGGGAACUCUGACACAGGUGCUGCAUGGCUGUCGUCAGCUCGUGUCGUGAGAUGUUGGGUUAAGUCCCGCAACGAGCGCAACCCUUGCCUUUAGUUGCCAGCAGUUCGGCUGGGCACUCUAAAGGGACUGCCGGUGUUAAACCGGAGGAAGGUGGGGAUGACGUCAAGUCCUCAUGGCCUUUAUGACCAGGGCUACACACGUACUACAAUGGCCGAUACAAAGGGCAGCGACACUGCGAGGUGAAGCCAAUCCCGUAAAAUCGGUCUCAGUCCGGAUUGGAGUCUGCAACUCGACUCCAUGAAGUUGGAAUCGCUAGUAAUCGUGGAUCAGCAUGCCACGGUGAAUACGUUCCCGGGCCUU
Molecule: ribosomal RNA, 452 nt
Filed under: uncultured Desulfobulbus sp.
Lineage: Bacteria; Pseudomonadati; Thermodesulfobacteriota; Desulfobulbia; Desulfobulbales; Desulfobulbaceae
Description: bacterial SSU rRNA
Rfam family: Bacterial small subunit ribosomal RNA
Source: RNAcentral